CCAGGUCGCCGGUCCGGUAGAUGCGGGCGUUCUCGCCGCCCGCCACCUCCCGCUCCGUACGGAACGGGUUGGG
Molecule: transfer RNA, 73 nt
Filed under: Streptomyces fulvorobeus
Lineage: Bacteria; Bacillati; Actinomycetota; Actinomycetes; Kitasatosporales; Streptomycetaceae
Description: tRNA-Glu
Source: RNAcentral